AGCGGACGCUGGCGGCAGGCUUAACACAUGCAAGUCGAACGCCAUCUUCGGAUGGAGUGGCAGACGGGUGAGUAACGCGUGGGAACGUACCCUUUGGUUCGGAAUAUUCUCGGGAAACUGGGAGCAAUACCGGAUAAGCCCUACGGGGGAAAGAUUUAUCGCCAAAGGAGCGGCCCGCGUCAGAUUAGGUAGUUGGUGGGGUAAAGGCCUACCAAGCCUACGAUCUGUAGCUGGUCUGAGAGGAUGAUCAGCCACACUGGGACUGAGACACGGCCCAGACUCCUACGGGAGGCAGCAGUGGGGAAUCUUGGACAAUGGGCGCAAGCCUGAUCCAGCCAUGCCGCGUGGAUGAUGAAGGCCUUAGGGUUGUAAAAUCCUUUCAACGGGGACGAUAAUGACGGUACCCGUAGAAGAAGACCCCGGCUAACUUCGUG
RNAcentral lists this ribosomal RNA (434 nucleotides) under uncultured bacterium. Its description in RNAcentral is "bacterial SSU rRNA". It matches the Rfam family "Bacterial small subunit ribosomal RNA", at positions 29 to 507 of the family's 1533-position model. The record is from RNAcentral.